CCUCCCUCAACCCACGUUGAAAACACUAUUUCUCUCCCCUAAAAUCUCUCCCACAUCUCUAACCACCUCUCCCCCUAAUUUAAUCACCAAAUUAGUUCAUUCUUCCUCAUAUUCACUCUCUGCAAUCAAGAAACCAGACGUCCUCUUUCAACUUCUAUUCAAGAAAUCGAGAACUAAGGAGAGGGAGUUCAUGUUCCGUCCAGUUGCAAAUAUGUAAAUUUAAGGUGAGACUUCGCAAGGGAAUCGAGAUACCAAAGGGAAGGAAGUGUAGAGAAUUAAUCAAUUGAGGUUGAGCGGCGACGAGGAUGUGGUGGUGUUGAGCAAGUGAAUUUAAGAUUUUAAUGUGUCGUUGAACCUUGAGUGUCGUUGUGUCUUCACACAUGACGUCACUCUCUCUCUUGGUCUUUUCCGUUGUGACUUUUCGUUUAUUCAUGUUUUAUUUGGGCCGACAACUUUAAUUGUUAGGAUAAUGGAUAUUUUGAGUUACUUGUUGGAUAAUAUCAAACUCAUGAUUAUUUAAUGGAAUAUUAAUUGUUGGUCCAA
This is a long non-coding RNA of Salvia splendens (bonfire salvia), 543 nucleotides long. RefSeq lists it as uncharacterized. The transcript is spliced from 3 exons. Lineage: Eukaryota; Viridiplantae; Streptophyta; Magnoliopsida; Lamiales; Lamiaceae. The record is from RefSeq and is a predicted model, not a curated record.